RNAcentral lists this signal recognition particle RNA (100 nucleotides) under Oscillospiraceae bacterium. RNAcentral's name for it is "signal recognition particle sRNA small type". It matches the Rfam family "Bacterial small signal recognition particle RNA". Rfam says of the family: The signal recognition particle (SRP) is a universally conserved ribonucleoprotein involved in the co-translational targeting of proteins to membranes. Archaeal SRP consists of a 7S RNA and homologues of the eukaryotic SRP19 and SRP54 proteins. The record is from RNAcentral. Lineage: Bacteria; Bacillati; Bacillota; Clostridia; Eubacteriales; Oscillospiraceae.
ACGCGGGUCCCGCACGGCUGCGCUGCCGUGAACCCGGUCAGGCGGGGAACCGAGCAGCCGUAAGCGGAUGUGCGCGCGCGCUGCGGUCUGCCUGCGUACU